UACGGGGGGGGCAAGCGUUGUUCGGAAUUACUGGGCGUAAAGGGUUUGUAGGUGGCUUGCUAAGUCAGACGUGAAAUCCCUCAGCUUAACUGGGGAACUGCGUCUGAGACUGGCAAGCUCGAGUGCAGGAGAGGAACGCGGAAUUCCAGGUGUAGCGGUGAAAUGCGUAGAUAUCUGGAGGAACACCGGUGGCGAAGGCGGCGUUCUGGACUGCAACUGACACUGAAAAACGAAAGCCAGGGGAGCAAACGGG
Molecule: ribosomal RNA, 253 nt
Filed under: uncultured bacterium
Lineage: Bacteria
Description: partial 16S ribosomal RNA
Rfam family: Bacterial small subunit ribosomal RNA
Source: RNAcentral